UCUGCAUGCGUUUUGAUAGCUGUAAUGUAACAUAAACAUACAAAAAGAUUAUUUGCCUUCACAUUGUACAUUUAUCAACGGAGAACUGAUAACUCCACUACAAAUUACACUUCUAUAUAAUUUCCAAGCAGGCUUCAAUGAUAACAGUUUCUUGAAGUACUUUGAAUUGCCAAACCUUUCCACAUGCGGCUGCUAAUAAUCUCUAUAGUAGAUUAGAAAGAGAAAAUACCGUGUCAAAACCUGGAUGGUGAUCAUCCUGUCCCUGACACACGUCCAUUCAGAGCUGAAUGUCGGGCUAGAACCAAUGAGCUGCAGCAGCGGCACCAUUCACCAAAAAACUGCAUAGCGUCCCACUAAACAAGAGCAUCUGACAUAGAAAAAAACUUCAUCAACUUUGCAUCUGACAUCAAAGGACUUCUGUUUAAUAGCAGCUAUACACAGAAUUAGCAAAAUAAAAUAGCUACUUGAGAAGAACAAAAAGCUUAGAUUAGUUUGUACAAAAAAGGCCUUAGUGAUUGUCUCCAAGUACAGAGCGUAGUUUACAGUAUGGAGCAUCCACAUGAGAAGAAAAACCAAACAACUCCAGCGACCUGAACUGAGAUGAUAUAUGCAUCACUCUUCUCUUCCAAACGCCC
This 635-nucleotide long non-coding RNA is filed under the name Triticum aestivum (bread wheat). Its description in RNAcentral is "long non-coding RNA (TAES_LNC016830)". Lineage: Eukaryota; Viridiplantae; Streptophyta; Magnoliopsida; Poales; Poaceae. The record is from RNAcentral.